Molecule: ribosomal RNA, 253 nt
Filed under: uncultured bacterium
Lineage: Bacteria
Description: partial 16S ribosomal RNA
Rfam family: Bacterial small subunit ribosomal RNA
Source: RNAcentral
UACGAAGGGGGCUAGCGUUGCUCGGAAUCACUGGGCGUAAAGCGCCCGUAGGCGGAUUGUUAAGUCAGGGGUGAAAUCCCGAGGCUCAACCUCGGAACUGCCUUUGAUACUGGGGAUCUCGAGUCCGGGAGAGGUGAGUGGAACUGCGAGUGUAGAGGUGAAAUUCGUAGAUAUUCGCAAGAACACCAGUGGCGAAGGCGGCUCACUGGCCCGGAACUGACGCUGAGGUGCGAAAGCGUGGGGAGCAAACAGG